GGUGACGUGGCCGAGUGGCUGAAGGCAACGGUUUGCUAAAUCGUCAUACCUGAAAGGGUAUCGAGGGUUCGAAUCCCUCCGUCACCG
Molecule: transfer RNA, 87 nt
Filed under: Phenylobacterium hankyongense
Lineage: Bacteria; Pseudomonadati; Pseudomonadota; Alphaproteobacteria; Caulobacterales; Caulobacteraceae
Rfam family: tRNA
About the family: Transfer RNA (tRNA) molecules are approximately 80 nucleotides in length.
Source: Rfam by way of RNAcentral